This is a long non-coding RNA of Falco peregrinus (peregrine falcon), 512 nucleotides long. RefSeq lists it as uncharacterized. NCBI's taxonomy places the organism in Eukaryota, Metazoa, Chordata, Aves, Falconiformes, Falconidae. The record is from RefSeq and is a predicted model, not a curated record. The transcript is spliced from 3 exons.
UCUCAGAAAUGAAUUCACUAAAAUCAGACUUGGUUCAAGUCACACAUGCACUUCUGAAUGAAUGUGAAUUUGCUGUGCAUUAUGAAAGCCUAACCUGGAGGAAGAUAUUUAAAACUAUUGCGAGCAGUGCGAAUUGCUAUACAGUGCCUCACUCCCACUGAAUUUUAGACUGUCUUCAUUAUUAAGAAGAUUUAUAUUUCAUCUUUUAUAGAAAGAUAAGUGACAUAUGCCAACAUGGAAAAAAUCACAGCACAGGCCCUGGUGGCUGGUGUCAGAUGAGUAGGAGUGUGCGUAUGUCUCAUGUUUACUCCAGCUGUCCUGCAAGAAGUACAGACUGAGCUUACAGUGAGCACUGCAGAAGUGACAUUGCAGACCUCUACUUACCGAAUUGUAUUUUCAGAUUCUUCCAACAACUUUUCUGGAUUCGGAAUAGGUCUCCUCUGUCAGCUGAGCCCGUAAGUUGAAUUUUUUCUUUAAAACGCAUGCUGUUCCUUCAAAGCCAGACAUACAAG